RNAcentral lists this ribosomal RNA (496 nucleotides) under uncultured bacterium. RNAcentral's name for it is "partial 16S ribosomal RNA". It matches the Rfam family "Bacterial small subunit ribosomal RNA", at positions 29 to 507 of the family's 1533-position model. The record is from RNAcentral.
AUGAACGCUGGCGGCGUGCCUAAUACAUGCAAGUCGAGCGCACAGACGAGGAGCUUGCUCCUCUGAUGUUAGCGGCGGACGGGUGAGUAACACGUGGAUAACCUACCUAUAAGACUGGGAUAACUUCGGGAAACCGGAGCUAAUACCGGAUAACAUGUUGAACCGCAUGGUUCAACAGUGAAAGACGGUUUUGCUGUCACUUAUAGAUGGAUCCGCGCCGCAUUAGCUAGUUGGUAAGGUAACGGCUUACCAAGGCAACGAUGCGUAGCCGACCUGAGAGGGUGAUCGGCCACACUGGAACUGAGACACGGUCCAGACUCCUACGGGAGGCAGCAGUAGGGAAUCUUCCGCAAUGGGCGAAAGCCUGACGGAGCAACGCCGCGUGAGUGAAGAAGGUCUUCGGAUCGUAAAACUCUGUUAUUAGGGAAGAACAAAUGUGUAAGUAACUAUGCACGUCUUGACGGUACCUAAUCAGAAAGCCACGGCUAACUACGUG